This is a long non-coding RNA of Carassius carassius (crucian carp), 859 nucleotides long. RefSeq lists it as uncharacterized. The transcript has 2 exons. The record is from RefSeq and is a predicted model, not a curated record. NCBI's taxonomy places the organism in Eukaryota, Metazoa, Chordata, Actinopteri, Cypriniformes, Cyprinidae.
GAUGACGACGACGACGACAGAUUGCGCCCUGAAGUUGUCACUCGCCAAAUACAGUUUCUACGUGAAUACAUUCAGAAAGCUACCACAGACCAGCUGCAAAAGCUCUUGACAUUUUGGACUGGAUGGGAGGUGCCAUCCAAGAGCCUGCAGGUUAAAAUUUGGAGGGGGAGGUUUUUCAAGGCUUCCACCUGCAGCAGGACCCUAAUGCUUCCUGCUGACAUACUUACAAUGGGUGAUUUCACUUCUACUUUGCAUGCUUGUGCAAACACAGCAUCGACUGGAUUUGGACUUGUUUAAGUCCAGACACUUUCAGAAUAUGUCGUUUGUAUUCAUUAAUUCCCAUAUCUACAGUUCUUGUAUACAACUGUUGCUUCCUUGCAGAUAUGAGAUUUAUCAACCAACUUGUUUAAUUUAGGUUUUUGCUGUCUAUACAAGCAAUUUAAAAUCCUGUGGAAACACAGCAUAUACACAGGCACUUUCAGAAUAUGUGGUUUGUAUUCAUUAAUUCACAUAUCUACAGUUCUUGUAUACAACUGUUGCUUCCUUGUAGAUAUGGGAUUUAUGAAUCAACUUGUUUAAUUUAGGUUUUUGCUGUCUACACAGUUUGCAAUUUAAAAUCCUGUACAAAUACAGCAUAUACUGGAUUUGGACUCAGUUAAGUCUAGACACACAUUCUUACGCACUUCAUUUAUUACAUAUCUAGUUCUUUUUGUAGGCACCUGUUAGAAAUGUUGCCUUGCACAUAGAGAAGUAAUUCAAUUGACUCAUUUACAUUUGACAUUUUCAUUGUCUACCAUUAGUCAUUUAAAAUAAACUACCUCAAGAAAUAAAAUUUUACAAUAAAUCUCAUUCUUCCAAA